RNAcentral lists this ribosomal RNA (533 nucleotides) under uncultured bacterium. RNAcentral describes it as "bacterial SSU rRNA". It matches the Rfam family "Bacterial small subunit ribosomal RNA", at positions 977 to 1509 of the family's 1533-position model. The record is from RNAcentral.
GGCCUUGACAUACUAAGAACUUUCCAGAGAUGGAUUGGUGCCUUCGGGAACUUAGAUACAGGUGCUGCAUGGCUGUCGUCAGCUCGUGUCGUGAGAUGUUGGGUUAAGUCCGCAACGAGCGCAACCCUUUUCCUUAUUUGCCAGCGGGUAAUGCCGGGAACUUUAAGGAUACUGCCAGUGACAAACUGGAGGAAGGCGGGGACGACGUCAAGUCAUCAUGGCCCUUACGGCCAGGGCUACACACGUGCUACAAUGGUCGGUACAAAGGGUUGCUACCUCGCGAGAGGAUGCUAAUCUCAAAAAGCCGAUCGUAGUCCGGAUCGCAGUCUGCAACUCGACUGCGUGAAGUCGGAAUCGCUAGUAAUCGCGGAUCAGAAUGCCGCGGUCGAAUACGUUCCCGGGCCUUGUACACACCGCCCGUCACACCAUGGGAGUUUGUUGCACCAGAAGUAGGUAGUCUAACCACAAGGAGGACGCUUACCACGGUGUGGCCGAUGACUGGGGUGAAGUCGUAACAAGGUAGGCGUAGAUGA